Non-coding RNA from Callithrix jacchus (white-tufted-ear marmoset), 72 nucleotides. NCBI's taxonomy places the organism in Eukaryota, Metazoa, Chordata, Mammalia, Primates, Cebidae. The record is from Rfam.
GGUUCCAUGGUGUACUGGUUAGCACUCUGGACUCUGAAUUCAGUGAUCUGAGUUCACAUCUUGGUGGAACUU